GAAAUGCGAUACGUAGUGUGAAUUGCAGAAUUCCGUGAACCAUCGAAUCUUUGAACGCAAAUUGCGCUCGAGGCUUCGGCCAAGAGCAUGUCUGCCUCAGCGUCGGCUACUACCCUCAACUAAGUUUCCUAUGAAAGACUAGGGGAUGCCAGUUGGAUAUGGCCGUCCGGUUUGCCUUUCAGGCUGCCGGUCAGCUGAAAUUCAUUCACGCUCUGGGGGCUGCUUUCCUUGAAAGGCUGUUUUCAAUGGGAGGCGAGUUCCGAUUUGGUAGGUGACCUUUGCCGGUUACAUGCCUUCGUUGCUCGCUAAGCUUCCCAGUAGUCGUUGUGCAGGACGCCUUUUGGCUUUCGACCUGAGGUCAGGCA
This 365-nucleotide ribosomal RNA is filed under the name uncultured alga. Its description in RNAcentral is "eukaryotic LSU rRNA". The stretch from base 1 to 105 matches the Rfam family "5.8S ribosomal RNA", at positions 50 to 154 of the family's 154-position model. The record is from RNAcentral.